RNAcentral lists this ribosomal RNA (253 nucleotides) under uncultured bacterium. RNAcentral describes it as "partial 16S ribosomal RNA". It matches the Rfam family "Bacterial small subunit ribosomal RNA", at positions 524 to 776 of the family's 1533-position model. The record is from RNAcentral.
UACGUAGGUGACCAGCGUUGUCCGGAUUUACUGGGCGUAAAGAGCGCGCAGGCGGUCGUUCAAGUCGAGUGUGAAAGCCCCCGGCUCAACUGGGGAGGGUCAUUCGAUACUGAUCGACUGGAAGGCAGGAGAAGGAAGCGGAAUUCCCGGUGUAGUGGUGAAAUGCGUAGAUAUCGGGAGGAACACCAGUGGCGAAGGCGGCUUCCUGGCCUGUUCUUGACGCUGAGGCGCGAAAGCUAGGGGAGCAAACGGG